UUGUUCUCUGCAACUCGAGAGCAUGAAGGCGGAAUCGCUAGUAAUCGCGGAUCAGCAUGCCGCGGUGAAUACGUUCCCAGGCCUUGUACACACCGCCCGUCACACCAUGGGAGUUGGUUUCACCCGAAGGCUGUGCGCUAACCGCAAGGAGGCAGCAGACCACGGUGGGAUCAGCGACUGGGGUGAAGUCGUAACAAGGUAGCCGUAGGGGAACCUGCGGCUGGAUCACCUCCUUU
Molecule: ribosomal RNA, 236 nt
Filed under: Hyphomicrobiaceae bacterium
Lineage: Bacteria; Pseudomonadati; Pseudomonadota; Alphaproteobacteria; Hyphomicrobiales; Hyphomicrobiaceae
Description: partial 16S ribosomal RNA
Rfam family: Bacterial small subunit ribosomal RNA
Source: RNAcentral